AACCCAGUGGCCUAAUAUACUGUAUAUGGCACCUGCCUCUGGAGCAAGGGGUUGUGGGUUCAAGUCCCACCUGGUUUG
Molecule: non-coding RNA, 78 nt
Organism: Merluccius polli (Benguela hake)
Lineage: Eukaryota; Metazoa; Chordata; Actinopteri; Gadiformes; Merlucciidae
Source: the annotation of a GenBank genome assembly